GACGAACGCUGGCGGCGUGCCUAACACAUGCAAGUCGAACGGAAAGGCCCUGCUUUUGUGGGCUGCUCGGGGGGCGAACGGGGGAGUAACACGUGAGUAACCUGCCCUUCACUUUGGGGUAAGUUAAGGAAGCUGGGGCUAAUCCCGGAUAGGAGCUCCCGCUGCAUGGUGGGGGUUGGAUAGUUUCGGCGGUUGGGGAUGGACUGGCGGCUUAUGAGCUUGUUGGUUGGGUAGUGGCUUACCAAGGCUUUGACGGGUAGCCGGCCUGGGAGGGUGACCGGCCACAUUGGGACUGAGAUACGGCCCAGACUCCUACGGGAGGCAACGGUGGGGAGUAUUACACAAUGGGCGGAAGCCUGAUGCAGCAACGCCGCGUGCGGGAUGACGGCCUUCGGGUUGUGAACCGCUGCCGCCUGAGACGAAGCGUUAGUGACGGUAAUGGGAAAAUAAGCACCGGCUAACUACGUG
RNAcentral lists this ribosomal RNA (468 nucleotides) under uncultured bacterium. Its description in RNAcentral is "partial 16S ribosomal RNA". It matches the Rfam family "Bacterial small subunit ribosomal RNA", at positions 28 to 507 of the family's 1533-position model. The record is from RNAcentral.